GUGAGUAUAGCUCAGUGGUAGAGCACAUGCUUAGCAUGCAUGAGGUCCUGGGUUCAACCCCUAGUACCUCCA
Molecule: transfer RNA, 72 nt
Filed under: Camelus bactrianus (Bactrian camel)
Lineage: Eukaryota; Metazoa; Chordata; Mammalia; Artiodactyla; Camelidae
Also listed under: 2 other names
Rfam family: tRNA
About the family: Transfer RNA (tRNA) molecules are approximately 80 nucleotides in length. Their secondary structure includes four short double-helical elements and three loops (D, anti-codon, and T loops).
Source: Rfam by way of RNAcentral